UUUUUUUACAACCCGGAAAAUCUUGAUUAUUGUUCUUUUGCCGUAAAAAGUUAAGAGCAUUCACUUAGGGUGAGUAAGAAAUAAGUUGGGGAGAAUCGGUAAGUACCACAACUCUUGAAAAAAAAAAGAAAAACCGAGCAAGCAUUGAAAAUAAAAAUAUAGAAAAGAAACAUCUGUUUUGUAAAUAUGAUGUGAAAGAAAAGAACAAAAAUAGAAAGAAUGAAAAUGAAUG
Molecule: long non-coding RNA, 232 nt
Filed under: Lathyrus oleraceus (garden pea)
Lineage: Eukaryota; Viridiplantae; Streptophyta; Magnoliopsida; Fabales; Fabaceae
Description: Pisum sativum (pea) long non-coding RNA (PSAT_LNC009224)
Source: RNAcentral